RNAcentral lists this long non-coding RNA (1335 nucleotides) under Apis florea (little honeybee). RNAcentral describes it as "uncharacterized LOC105735408, transcript variant X1". The record is from RNAcentral. Lineage: Eukaryota; Metazoa; Arthropoda; Insecta; Hymenoptera; Apidae.
UAAAAACUAAAUCAUUUUCUUAAAAUAUAUCAAUUUUUAAAUAGUUUAAACGGAAACAAUCACUGGUUCAAUCAACCACAUUCCGUUUUGUCCGACAAUUGACGAAGUAAAGAAUGCGCGUGCCUAUAUAUAAACUUACACGAAACGAUUGCCGAAAGCUCUGGCGGUAAAUAUCGCUGCGAGUUCUAGAUGGGUCUAUUCGCGAAAGGGAUCAGAAAACAGUCGGUAGAGAGCGCCGCCGCGUGCUCGAGGACAAACGAGCAGUGGGGGGUACGCGUGGGCUGCAUGGUGUCGACGAAGGCAUCGGAAGCGCGAUUUAUCGCGCGCACACUCCGCGAAGAAAGAGUCGUCCCGCUGGUGGUCGUUAAUUCUUGUCGCACGUGUCCCACCGCUUUGAUCACGCGAGUAUGCUAAUUGCACCGUCCACCGCCCACUCGCUGCCAGUGCAUGGAAAAUCGUCGAGAGUUGACAGCGACCAAAAGUAAGAGGAAGAUGAAGGAAGAGAAGAAGGAUCAUGAUGAUGGAAGAGGGAAGGAAUAGCAGAAAGAAGACCAAGAGAAGAAAGAAGAAAAAGUGGAAGAAAGAGAAGAAACUUAACUUGAGUCGAGUGGGAUGGAUUUUGCCAUUCUCCAUUGGCGUGUACGUUCUGUUGGCACAUGCGCAAGUACCGAUUCCAAACAUCGAAAGACAUGCUAGGAAUAUAGGAUAAUCAGCUUAACAUUUUGUUGCGACGCAUUUUGUUUUUGAUACAUAAAUUAAAUGAAAGAAAAUCACAUUUUUCCAGCCAUUACAGUUUCCGUGAAAAUAUAACUUAAUGGACCAAAACGAAUUUCUAUGGAGAAGAAAGUAUGUCUGUGGUUUUCCAGGGGUAAAAAGGACGGUGCACGCGCCGCUUGCAGAAACGUUUCGUAAAUUCGAAGAAUGGCUGGAAAGAAGUGGCCGCCACACAAAGCGUGCCGACACAACCGGGCUCGUUUGCCCCGCGGAGGUAAUUGUCUUCUUGGCCGCACGAGAGCGCACGUAUUCCGCAAGCAAAUACACACCAAGAGGCUGGCUUACAUACAGCGUUCUCACGGGAUGGAGAAUAAACACCAUGGUCCGGUCUGUUACCGACUUUUCAACUUUUCGUUUCCUGGACACGGUUUGUUGGAACAUUCUCUCAUUCGUUCAGUUGUCGAUUUGUGGAUAACGAAUUGCAGUGAAUAGAAGAAACUUUUAUAUUGUUUAUAUUGAUGUUAUAUUUUAUUUCUCUUUUUCAAGAGAAGAAUUCUUGUAAUUGUAGAUAACAUUUAAAAAGUAGAAAAUAAAUGAGAUUAUAAAAAUGAAAAAAAAAAG